Molecule: transfer-messenger RNA, 337 nt
Filed under: bovine gut metagenome
Rfam family: transfer-messenger RNA
About the family: Bacterial tmRNA, also known as 10Sa RNA or SsrA, is named for its dual tRNA and mRNA-like properties. Its role is to liberate the mRNA from a stalled ribosome. To accomplish this part of the tmRNA is used as a reading frame that ends in a translation stop signal.
Source: RNAcentral
GGGCCUGUAAAGGUUUCGACAGGGAGUAUGAAACUAUAGAAGCUAUUCGUAGGCGGGACGCGUUAAGUAGCAAAAUAAAUUUAAACGCUAACAAUAGUUAUCGUUUAGCAGCGUAAUCUGCUAUGUUUAAUAUAUUAUCACUCGUAGUAAUAUAUUAGGCAUCAUUAUAUACGGGACACUGAAGGACUAUGUCUCUAAAUCCUUUAAGUAAUAGAGAAUCGAUUGAAAUACUGUUUGUUUAUUUAUGGUAUGAUAUUUAAAUCUAAAAAAUAAACUAUAAUAGUAGAAGGAUAGUGGAGUGCUUUUUGGACAGGGGUUCGAUUCCCCUCAGGUCCAU